RNAcentral lists this ribosomal RNA (484 nucleotides) under uncultured bacterium. RNAcentral describes it as "partial 16S ribosomal RNA". It matches the Rfam family "Bacterial small subunit ribosomal RNA", at positions 30 to 507 of the family's 1533-position model. The record is from RNAcentral.
AUUGAACGCUGGCGGCAGGCCUAACACAUGCGAGUCGAGCGGAUGAAGGGAGCUUGCUCCUGGAUUCAGCGGCGGACGGGUGAGUAAUGCCUAGGAAUCUGCCUGGUAGUGGGGGAUAACGUCCGGAAACGGGCGCUAAUACCGCAUACGUCCUGAGGGAGAAAGUGGGGGAUCUUCGGACCUCCCGCGAUCAGAUGAGCCUAGGUCGGAUUAGCUAGUUGGUGGGGUAAAGGCCUACCAAGGCGACGAUCCGUAACUGGUCUGAGAGGAUGAUCAGUCACACUGGAACUGAGACACGGUCCAGACUCCUACGGGAGGCAGCAGUGGGGAAUAUUGGACAAUGGGCGAAAGCCUGAUCCAGCCAUGCCGCGUGUGUGAAGAAGGUCUUCGGAUUGUAAAGCACUUUAAGUUGGGAGGAAGGGCAGUAAGUUAAUACCUUGCUGUUUUGACGUUACCAACAGAAUAAGCACCGGCUAACUUCGUG